GGAACUGAAAUAUUAGGAACACUCAAUUUUUAUUACUUUAGCCAUUUAUUUUUCGUGCACUUUAAUUUUUUAUUAUUAUUUAUUAAUUUAUCUUUUCCUUCUCUUGGCAGGUUUUUAUAGUUUAGAACUAGAAGAAAUCCGUCAAGACCAUUACUUUUUGACGAAGAAAUCGAUUGUACAGUUCGUAGAAAUCCAAGAGAAAUAGGGCGAAACUUAAGAUACACAGAGAACGAGCA
This 236-nucleotide long non-coding RNA is filed under the name Gossypium barbadense (sea-island cotton). RNAcentral describes it as "long non-coding RNA (GBAR_LNC007423)". Lineage: Eukaryota; Viridiplantae; Streptophyta; Magnoliopsida; Malvales; Malvaceae. The record is from RNAcentral.